This 544-nucleotide ribosomal RNA is filed under the name uncultured Flavobacterium sp. Its description in RNAcentral is "bacterial SSU rRNA". It matches the Rfam family "Bacterial small subunit ribosomal RNA", at positions 90 to 632 of the family's 1533-position model. The record is from RNAcentral. Lineage: Bacteria; Pseudomonadati; Bacteroidota; Flavobacteriia; Flavobacteriales; Flavobacteriaceae.
AGAGACCGGCGCACGGGUGCGUAACGCGUAUGCAAUCUACCUUUCACAGAGGGAUAGCCCAGAGAAAUUUGGAUUAAUACCUCAUAGUAUAGCAGUUUCGCAUGAAACCACUAUUAAAGAUUUAUCGGUGAAAGAUGAGCAUGCGUCCCAUUAGUUAGUUGGUAAGGUAACGGCUUACCAAGACAACGAUGGGUAGGGGUCCUGAGAGGGAGAUCCCCCACACUGGUACUGAGACACGGACCAGACUCCUACGGGAGGCAGCAGUGAGGAAUAUUGGACAAUGGGCGCAAGCCUGAUCCAGCCAUGCCGCGUGCAGGAUGACGGUCCUAUGGAUUGUAAACUGCUUUUAUACAGGAAGAAACAGUUCUACGUGUAGAACCUUGACGGUACUGUAAGAAUAAGGAUCGGCUAACUCCGUGCCAGCAGCCGCGGUAAUACGGAGGAUCCAAGCGUUAUCCGGAAUCAUUGGGUUUAAAGGGUCCGUAGGCGGUCAGAUAAGUCAGUGGUGAAAGCCCAUCGCUCAACGGUGGAACGGCCAUUGAUA